AAUCAACGCUGGCGGCGUGCCUAACACAUGCAAGUCGAACGCGAAAGCCCCUUCGGGGGUUAGUAGAGUGGCGUCCGGGUGAGUAACACGUGGGUAAUCUGCCUUCGGGUGGGGAAUAACCCAGGGAAACUUGGGCUAAUACCGCAUAAUGCAGCGGCACCUAAUGGUGAUUAGUUGUUAAAGCGGGGGAUCGCAAGACCUCGCGCCUGAAGAGGAGCCUGCGGCAGAUUAGCUAGUUGGUGAGGUAAUGGCUCACCAAGGCUUCGAUCUGUAGCUGGUCUGAGAGGACGGCCAGCCACACUGGCACUGACACACGGGCCAGACUCCUACGGGAGGCAGCAGUGGGAAUCUUGCGCAAUGGGCGAAAGCCUGACGCAGCGACGCCGCGUGAGGGAUGACGGCCUU
RNAcentral lists this ribosomal RNA (405 nucleotides) under uncultured bacterium. RNAcentral's name for it is "bacterial SSU rRNA". It matches the Rfam family "Bacterial small subunit ribosomal RNA", at positions 32 to 418 of the family's 1533-position model. The record is from RNAcentral.